RNAcentral lists this long non-coding RNA (3168 nucleotides) under Anas platyrhynchos platyrhynchos (common mallard). Its description in RNAcentral is "lncRNA (ENSAPLG00000026909.1)". The record is from RNAcentral. Lineage: Eukaryota; Metazoa; Chordata; Aves; Anseriformes; Anatidae.
UACCUCAUGGUGGCAGCGAGAGCAGGUGCCUGGCCCCCAGAGGUGGCAGGGCAGGUGUGUUCCUGCCACGGGUGCUGAGGUGUUGUGGGUGACACCAGCUUUUUCUGCUUGCUGCCUGCUGGGGAUCUCAUUAGCUGCUCCUUGGGACCCAGCCACAGGGAUGGGCCCCUUUCUUUCCCCCCUUCUUCAGGCUCUGAAUGACCCUGGAGUUUUCUUCCUUCUCUUUCCCUUAAUGAGCUGUGCUGCAUGGAGCUAAGUGGGGAACGUGCAGGCACGGAUCUCUUGGCUGAAAGAGUCUAAUUGCUAGAAUAGGAAUGAAAUAGCCAUUAGAGCGUUUGCUGCUAAUUAAUUAUUGUUUGUGGCUGCUCAGAAGUGGAAGGGUACAAUUGUGGUGUAACAGACUAAACAGUGCUCACAGAACUCCUGUUUAUAGCUGGGGGACCUGAAUGCUGAUGAUUACUGGUGGUGUGUUGUGCUGAUAUCCUAAGCUGAGGACCCCCCCCCUGUUUUUUCACGUUUUUGGCAAAGUUUUGUGUUUCGCCACUUGCUUGUUUUAACUAGUCUAAAAUGGCUGGUGUCUCCUUUACCAGUCAAACCGUGCAUGGUAGGAAGUAUCAAAGAACUAGUUAAGCAGUCUUGCAGGUUAAUAAUAUCAUUUUAUAUAUAUAUAGUUACUAAAUACAGGACAUACCUUUUGUCUGGUUUCCUCACUUCUUAAUUUAGAAAAGCUGGAAAGCUGGUGGGGAGAAGAGGAGAAAUCCGCACGUAGAACCAGCGGACUGAUGGCUGACAACAAGUGCUUGUGAUUUACAACGGGGAGCAGCCUCUUCUCCAGCCACCCAGAAGGAGCUGGUGAGCUCUGGCCCUGCAGCUGCCUGGACAACGUGGGAAAGCCCCAACGCUUUGCUCCUCUGCUAUGCAGGUCACCCCAAACCCUGUCUGUGUUACGCCACUUCUGUAUCGUGCCCUGCUCCACAAAGCACUGGUGGAACAGUGGAAGAUGGUAAAUAUAUGCCAAGAUGUGAUGUGUUGCCAAGCAUCAGGAUGAUGUUGAGCCUAUUGGACAAGGACCCAAAUGGACUGCAUGGUGGUUUGAAGCAGGAUUAAAAAACAAAAGUCUGUGCCCCUCUUCUUUGCUAAUUGCCAGGGGAUAUUUGGGGGACUCCACCUAGCCCUGUCUCUGUGAGGAUACAGAGGCUAGGGCAGGAACACUGUCCCUGCGGAGCUGGAGUAAGGUGGAUGCUGUGGUCAUGGUGGUGCCCACCUGUGUGCAUGGGGCUGCCUGGCAGCAAUGGAGUGGUGAUCAGUGGGGUACUAACAUAGUGCAUGGGGAGAGCAGCACCAAACGUGGGGCGGGCUGAGGCUGUGUAUGGUUCCUAGGCUGGGCAGGAACAGUACAGUUACAAGUAAAGUACAUUGUUUAUAAUGUAAAUAUUCUUUUUUUUUAAGGUUUUCCCCAAAGUUCUUCAGUAGUUCUUAUUAGCAAAUAUGACACAUACCAGUCUCCGAAAAGUGGCAGUGAGAGGAGCUAGUGGGAAGAGUACGUAAAUAUGAAUUAUUUAAAAAAACAAAAAACAAACAAAAAACUUUAGAAGUUUAUUCUCUGGCUGUUUCUUGCCAUGGUAUCUGACUAACUAUCAUGUUACCAAAGGAGUGCACAAACCUGCAAGCCUUGCUGUUUGGAGUGUCUUGAUAGGUCUGCUUUUUUUUAUAUUUUAUGGAAAUAGAUACAACUUUGCUAUUAUCAGUCUGAUUCUCUUUUGAAUUUUGAAUUACUUUUUUUUUUUAACUAAUAGUCUGUUUUAUGUAAACCUCUUAGAGAUUAGGAGUUGAUUUCAAAGAUCAUCCUCUAUAAAGUCUCUUGAUCAUAUUUUAUGGUUCCUGUAACUCAUGGGUGUAAUCUCAUAUCCCUGGGAUAUUUAUGACAUGUUCGCCUAAUUCCCCAUGGUAGCUAAUCUCACUUCUCUACCUUAAAAAUAUUAAAAUAUCUUUAAAGCAAGACUGGUAAAAAGGCAACUUUUACAGCCAAUCUUCAGCUCCAAUUGCUCCUGCUGAGGAAGUCAUAAUGAUGAAUUUGUGACAUAAUUUCUGCGGCAACAUGCUGGGAUUUCAUAAAUGGGGAUGGUGAUUAUAGAGCAGGAUCAGGUGAAGCAGGAUUGUGAUGGAAAAAGCCUUGAUUCAAAUGCAAAUUGUUCAAUAAUGGCAUAGGGGAUACCAGAAAUUACUGGCAAUUUAUUUUAUUUGGGUUAAGCUCCUCAUUCAGUCUUCUCCGGUCGGAAAGUCACUCUUUUAAGGAAACAAGCAAAAGAAAUGGCUAGAAAACAAAUCUCUCUCUCUUGAGAGAAUGAAAUUGUUCUAAUUCACUAAUAAUUAAUCUGUUAGUGUAAUUGUCAUUAAUGUUUAGCAUUUCUAUGACUCAUCCUAUUGAAGACUCUCCAAGUGCUUCGCAGACCCUAAUUGAUUCCACCUUCCCUGGAGCAGGAUCCCAUAAUCUACCCCAAUUUCUGGAGACAGCGAGAAGCACGGGCUAGGCACAGAGGCUAAAUGAUUUUCCCAGGGUUGGACCGGGAGCUGGAGUUCAGGUCUACACUUCAUAGACCAGCCUCUACCUAGCUGGGCUUCGGCAGCCGGACGGUGAAUGCUGGCACCACGAGGUGAUGUGAUGCUGGUUGCAGCCUUGGAGCAAAUCUGGCAGCGUUCUGCUGUCUGGCACGAGGAGAGAAAGCUGGUGCAGCUGCCACCAGCCUCAUGGGCACGUGUCAGCAGUGUCACCAGCAGAACUGGCUGCUAGUUGGUUAUUCUUUAUGACAUUAGAAGCAAGCUGGCUUGUUUGGGGUGGCUUUUUUUUUUUUUUUUUUUUUUUUUUUUUCCAAAAUAGCUUGGAAUUUAAACUUUUUAGCUAAGGAUUAAACUAAUUGCUUCUGCAAAAUGCUGUUCCCACACCAUCUAGUGCGCAUCUGUUAAGUGGGGAGGGAUAACUGAACCAGUUGCCAGAUGGUCCCCUGGAUUUGAGUGGCCAGGAGCCAAGGAGCUGCCAGUUGGCGGUUUGUGGGGUUCUAGCAAAGAAGUCACGCUACGUGCACAUUCCCCUCGGUUACUCCUUUCUGCCUUAAUGAAGAUACUGUCUAAUGCAAUAAAGCAGCCAUUAGCCUCCUCCCUGCCCUCCCC